This 234-nucleotide unclassified non-coding RNA is filed under the name Hevea brasiliensis (rubber tree). Lineage: Eukaryota; Viridiplantae; Streptophyta; Magnoliopsida; Malpighiales; Euphorbiaceae. The record is from RNAcentral.
UGUCUUUCUCUCCUCGCUCUGGCACUCGCGAUUUCUUCCGGGUCUGGCGAUGGUUACGUCAUUAAUGGUCAAGUGAAGAUUGAAGGUGUGGGUGCAAAAGGUUUUGGUCUUCCUGGAAAACUAUCCAACGUCAAAGUUAUGCUUAAUGGUGGCCAAAGCAUCACUUUUCUAAGGCCUGAUGGAUAUUUUUCGUUCUAUAACGUGUCAGCAGGGACUCAUUUAAUUGAAGUGGCU